AGUCGUGCAGUGCACACAAAGCGAAUUAUUCUUUCGCCUUUUACUAAAGAAUACCGUGUGUGCGCUGCGAACAACGACAUACGUCACUUUUUGGAGGGUCCACUCGAUAUGUGUUGGAU
Molecule: small nuclear RNA, 119 nt
Organism: Tripterygium wilfordii
Lineage: Eukaryota; Viridiplantae; Streptophyta; Magnoliopsida; Celastrales; Celastraceae
Product: U5 spliceosomal RNA
Exons: 1
Source: RefSeq, a predicted model, not a curated record